RNAcentral lists this ribosomal RNA (407 nucleotides) under Ruegeria sp. EF2C-B912. Its description in RNAcentral is "bacterial SSU rRNA". It matches the Rfam family "Bacterial small subunit ribosomal RNA", at positions 1 to 441 of the family's 1533-position model. The record is from RNAcentral. Lineage: Bacteria; Pseudomonadati; Pseudomonadota; Alphaproteobacteria; Rhodobacterales; Roseobacteraceae.
UAGAGUUUGAAUCCUGGCUCAGAACGAACGCUGGCGGCAGGCCUAACACAUGCAAGUCGAGCGCGCCUUUCGGGGUGAGCGGCGGACGGGUUAGUAACGCGUGGGAAUAUGCCCAAAGGUACGGAAUAGCCUCUGGAAACGGAGAGUAAUACCGUAUGUGCCCUUCGGGGGAAAGAUUUAUCGCCUUUGGAUUAGCCCGCGUUAGAUUAGGUAGUUGGUGGGGUAAUGGCCUACCAAGCCUACGAUCUAUAGCUGGUUUUAGAGGAUGAUCAGCAACACUGGGACUGAGACACGGCCCAGACUCCUACGGGAGGCAGCAGUGGGGAAUCUUGGACAAUGGGGGCAACCCUGAUCCAGCCAUGCCGCGUGAGUGAUGAAGGCCUUAGGGUCGUAAAGCUCUUUCGCCU